This 388-nucleotide ribosomal RNA is filed under the name uncultured bacterium. Its description in RNAcentral is "bacterial SSU rRNA". It matches the Rfam family "Bacterial small subunit ribosomal RNA", at positions 28 to 416 of the family's 1533-position model. The record is from RNAcentral.
GACGAACGCUGGCGGCGUGCUUAACACAUGCAAGUCGAGCGGUAAGGCCCUUUCGGGGGUACACGAGCGGCGAACGGGUGAGUAACACGUGGGUGACCUGCCCUCAGCUCUGGGAUAAGCCUGGGAAACCGGGUCUAAUACUGGAUAUGACUCCAUGACGCAUGUUGUGGGGUGAAAGCCUUGUGCGGCUGAGGAUGGGCCCGCGGCCUAUCAGCUUGUUGGUGGGGUGANGGCCUACCAAGGCGACGACGGGUAGCCGGCCUGAGAGGGCGACCGGCCACACUGGGACUGAGACACGGCCCAGACCCCUACGGGAGGCAGCAGGUGGGGAAUCUUGCGCAAGUGGGCGAAAGCCUGACGCAGCGACGCCGCGUGGAGGAUGAAGGUC